UAAAUUAAUUGAUAAAAAUUAUAAAUAUUCCCAUAUACCAUGAAAAAGAGCUUAAAAUACAUUAAUACAAAUGUAGAAUGUGGUUAGAAAUUUUAAAACAACACUAAAGAUUAUAGGCUUCAAUAUAUAAAGUAUUUACCAAAAACUCAAUAUUUUCGAAGGGGUUAACACAUGGAUUUUGAGAAAAUUUCAUAAAAUAUGACACUAUGGUUUUAAUGCGUAGUUUCAUCCUGCACUAACCUAUGAUGAUGUUCAAAGAGAUUUGAAGCCUUUGUUGUCUCCGUUU
This is a long non-coding RNA of Brassica rapa (field mustard), 286 nucleotides long. RefSeq lists it as uncharacterized. The record is from RefSeq and is a predicted model, not a curated record. Lineage: Eukaryota; Viridiplantae; Streptophyta; Magnoliopsida; Brassicales; Brassicaceae.